This is a small nucleolar RNA of Impatiens glandulifera, 87 nucleotides long. RefSeq annotates it as small nucleolar RNA Z199. The transcript has a single exon. The record is from RefSeq and is a predicted model, not a curated record. Lineage: Eukaryota; Viridiplantae; Streptophyta; Magnoliopsida; Ericales; Balsaminaceae.
GAAUCAGGUGAUGAGGAAACAAAACUGCAACAAUAUGAUUGGAAAAUAUCCAUGAUUCAUUUUUAUAUAUUUAAGUCUCUGAUGGUU